UACCAGCACCCCGAGUGGUCGGGACGUUUAUUGGGCCUAAAGCAUCCGUAGCCGGUUCUACAAGUCUUCCGUUAAAUCCACCUGCUUAACAGAUGGGCUGCGGAAGAUACUAUGGAGCUAGGAGGCGGGAGAGGCAAGCGGUACUCGAUGGGUAGGGGUAAAAUCCUCUGAUCCAUUGAAGACCACCAGUGGCGAAGGCGGCUUGCCAGAACGCGCUCGACGGUGAGGGAUGAAAGCUGGGGGAGCAAACCGG
This 253-nucleotide ribosomal RNA is filed under the name uncultured bacterium. RNAcentral describes it as "partial 16S ribosomal RNA". It matches the Rfam family "Archaeal small subunit ribosomal RNA", at positions 474 to 727 of the family's 1478-position model. The record is from RNAcentral.